This 253-nucleotide ribosomal RNA is filed under the name uncultured bacterium. Its description in RNAcentral is "partial 16S ribosomal RNA". It matches the Rfam family "Bacterial small subunit ribosomal RNA", at positions 524 to 776 of the family's 1533-position model. The record is from RNAcentral.
GACAGAGGGUGCAAACGUUGUUCGGAAUUACUGGGCGUAAAGCGUGCGUAGACGGUUAUGUAAGUCGGGUGUGAAAGCCCCGGGCUCAACCUGGGAAUUGCAUUCGAGACUGCGUAGCUAGGGUGCGGAAGAGGGAAGCGGAAUUUCCGGUGUAGCGGUGAAAUGCGUAGAUAUCGGAAGGAACACCAGUGGCGAAAGCGGCUUCCUGGUCCAGCACCGACGUUCAGGCACGAAAGCGUGGGGAGCAAACAGG